ACAUUGGUGGUUCAGUAGUAGAAUCCUCUCCUUCCGUUCAGGAGACCCAGGUUCGAUUCUGGCCAGUGUA
RNAcentral lists this transfer RNA (70 nucleotides) under Loxodonta africana (African savanna elephant). It matches the Rfam family "tRNA". Rfam says of the family: Transfer RNA (tRNA) molecules are approximately 80 nucleotides in length. Their secondary structure includes four short double-helical elements and three loops (D, anti-codon, and T loops). Further hydrogen bonds mediate the characteristic L-shaped molecular structure. tRNAs have two regions of fundamental functional importance: the anti-codon, which is responsible for specific mRNA codon recognition, and the 3' end, to which the tRNAs corresponding amino acid is attached (by aminoacyl-tRNA synthetases). tRNAs cope with the degeneracy of the genetic code in two manners: having more than one tRNA (with a specific anti-codon) for a particular amino acid; and 'wobble' base-pairing, i.e. permitting non-standard base-pairing at the 3rd anti-codon position. The record is from Rfam by way of RNAcentral. Lineage: Eukaryota; Metazoa; Chordata; Mammalia; Proboscidea; Elephantidae.